AACGAACGCUGGCGGCAGGCUUAACACAUGCAAGUCGAGCGCCCCGCAAGGGGAGCGGCAGACGGGUGAGUAACGCGUGGGAACGUACCUUUUGGUUCGGAACAACUCCGGGAAACUGGAGCUAAUACCGGAUAAGCCCGCACGGGGAAAGAUUUAUCGCCGAACGAUCGGCCCGCGUCUGAUUAGCUAGUUGGUGAGGUAACGGCUCACCAAGGCGACGAUCAGUAGCUGGUCUGAGAGGAUGAUCAGCCACACUGGGACUGAGACACGGCCCAGACUCCUACGGGAGGCAGCAGUGGGGAAUAUUGGACAAUGGGCGCAAGCCUGAUCCAGCCAUGCCGCGUGAGUGAUGAAGGCCUUAGGGUUGUAAAGCUCUUUUGUCCGGGAAGAUAAUGACUGUACCGGAAGAAUAAGCCCCGGCUAACUUCGUG
RNAcentral lists this ribosomal RNA (431 nucleotides) under uncultured bacterium. RNAcentral describes it as "partial 16S ribosomal RNA". It matches the Rfam family "Bacterial small subunit ribosomal RNA", at positions 29 to 507 of the family's 1533-position model. The record is from RNAcentral.